GUACUCCCUUCGGCAGCACAUACACUAAAAUCGGAACAAUGCAGAGAAGAUUCACAUGGCCCCUGCACAAGAAUGGGCAAGUUUGUGAAGCAUUCCGUAUUUUU
Marmota marmota marmota (Alpine marmot) is the source of this 104-nucleotide small nuclear RNA. The record is from Ensembl. Lineage: Eukaryota; Metazoa; Chordata; Mammalia; Rodentia; Sciuridae.